RNAcentral lists this long non-coding RNA (2146 nucleotides) under Cricetulus griseus (Chinese hamster). RNAcentral's name for it is "lncRNA (ENSCGRG00015029100.1)". The record is from RNAcentral. Lineage: Eukaryota; Metazoa; Chordata; Mammalia; Rodentia; Cricetidae.
AAAUGUAAACGUUUCCUGGAAACUAUAGGAUAAUUGGUCAUCAUCUCUGGGUCCUGUGGCCCUUGUCGGUUUAGUAUCGUCUUCAGAGAAGGCCCAGCACAGUGACAUAAAGGAUGAUGUUCAACGAAGGCAUUUAGAAACCAAGAUGAACUUCCUUUGAUAUGACGAUCUCACUGACCCUCAAAAUUUCAAAAGCAAAAUGUUUAGUAGAGUGAAGAAGGAAGCUUCAUGUAAACUUAAAAGUGCAGCAAGAAAAAAGGCAAGAGUGGUCCUGUCGUUUGAAAGCCAUAUGUAAGUGGAGUCCCAAGUGGGGGGAUGUAGGUGCAAAUUAAGUUAAGUACUCAGAAAAAUUGCUUUCAGAAAGCUCAUGAUCAUAAAAUAAGACAGAAGUUCCAAAUGAAAAAGCUACCUGAGACUAAGUAAAAGGGUAACCCAAUUAGACAUCAAAGCAGUUCCCACUGCAUCUGGGAUUUCACAGGUGACGUUUUUAGACGAGGAGGUUUGAAUCAUUUGUUCCUUGCUGCAUUGUCGGUGUGCCUGUUGAAGCGGAAGGGUUGCUUCUAGGCAAUGCUCAGACUUUCUCCCUCCUACUCACUGCUGCCUGUGAGUCAUCAGAACCAGUAUGCCUUCCGUCCUUCACACACAAAGAGGACGCUGUUGACCCGUCAGCAGGGAAUGCGCUGGCUCGGUGACCACUGUGAAAGGGCCAUUUGACACCCACGCUACGCUACGCAAUGGGAAAUAAACCUUUGCUGCCAGCAUUGUGUCAUGAAACUUCAGAAAAUAAUGACUUAGAUACAGUUAAAGAUCUGCCCAAAGGGCAGGUCUUGUUCAGCUGUGGGAGCAGAAACAUUGGGGUUUGUCCCCCAACUUUUUCAAGUGUGGUGACACUGCAGUUCCAGGUCUUCUAGUACUACUGUGUAUUUGGGUAAAGAAAGACCGGGAGACUACACAUAUCUUCACAUGGUCUGGGCCGAGGUGCCAUGAGGGAAUUUUCUAACAGAACCGACCCAGACUAGUGUACUGCCAUCACCUGGAGCCCUUUAGUGACCUCACCACUACCACACAAUUGUCAGCAGUCCUGCGUUGGAGAUGUGUCAUGAGAAAUUGAGUCAACAGAGCAAAGUGGAGAGGUUCCAGAUAUCUGGGGCUUUCCUUGAACAGAACACUUAGAAUGACCAGAAGAGUUGAAUAAAGAAAGACACCAUCAGUUUUAGUCCUCACGAUGGUACUGGUAGUGCCCAGGAAAAGGACACAUGGAAUACUGUGUUACUCAGAUUUUUGCUACUGUAAGAAGAGCCUCGGACAUGCCAGUGUAAAGGAAGAAAGGUUCUUAUUUCAGGCAUGUAUUAGGGGCUUUCAGACCAUGAUCAGUUGACCUUGUUGCUCUGGGCCUGUGGUGGCAUAGCACAUGAUGGCCAGAGAGUGACAGAACAAGACUGCUAACCUCUGGAAGCCAUGAAACAGGAAGCUGAUGGGGGCUGAGGUCCCACAAUCCCCUUUUUAAAAGUGCAUAUGGCCGGGCGUUGGUGGCGCACGCCUUUAAUCCCAGCACUUGGAAGGCAGAGGCAGGCGGAUCUCUGUGAGAUCGAGGCCAGCCUGGUCUCCAGAGCGAGUGCCAGGAUAGGCUCCAAAGCUACACAGAGAAACCCUGUCUUGGGGGAAAAAAAUGCAUGUGGCCAGUCACCCAAGACCUUGUACAAGGUCCCUUCUCUUAGAGGCUAUACCGCUACCUCCUAAUAGCACAUUCUGGAGACCGAACUUUACAUGUGUUGGGUCCUUUGGAAGACAUUCCAGAUCCAAAGGAUAACAGUAUUCAUAGCAAGGCAUCUUGCCUGAGACAGGGAAUUUGCUUCUAGUAGAUUUGAUUACAAACCUAAAAUGGUUUGGAAUAGUAUGUUAACUGAAGAAAAUCCAGUUUUAUAGAGAGAUUCGACUCUGUGCCCUUGGAAGCCAGAGGAGGGCAUCAGAUUCAUUGGAAUUGGAGUUAGAGAUGGUUGCAAUCUACCAUGUCAGUGUUGGGAAUUGAACCCAGGUCCUCUGGAAAACCCCUGAGCCAUCUCUCCAGUCCCAUAGCAAUUAUUCCAAAGAGACAAGAUCCACCCUACUCCUUCCAAGAGAGGGCUUUUCCUAAUGUUUGCAUUUU